ACGGGUGAGUAAAACGUAGGAAUUUGUCUUUGAGAGGGGGAUAACACGGGGAAACUCGUGCUAAUACCGCAUAACCUUGAGAGAGCAAAGUGUGGGACCGCAAGGCCACAUGCUCGAGGAGAAGCCUACGUCGGAUUAGCUAGUUGGUAGGGUAAAGGCCUACCAAGGCGAUGAUCCGUAGCUGGUCUGAGAGGACGAUCAGCCACACUGGGACUGAGACACGGCCCAGACUCCUACGGGAGGCAGCAGUGGGGAAUUUUGGACAAUGGGGGCAACCCUGAUCCAGCAAUGCCGCGUGUGUGAAGAAGGCCUGAGGGUUGUAAAGCACUUUAGGUGGGGAGAAAGGCCAUUGUGGUAAAACUGCAGUGGAUUGAUGUUACCCACAGAAUAAGCACCGGCUAACUCUGUGCCAGCAGCCGCGGUAAUACAGAGGGUGCAAGCGUUAAUCGGAAUUAUUGGGCGUAAAGCGCACGUAGGUGGCUUGUUAAGUCUGAUGUGAAAGCCCUGGGCUUAACCUGGGAAUUGCGUUGGAAACUGACAAGCUAGAGUCGGGGAGAGGGCCGUGGAAUUUCCGGUGUA
RNAcentral lists this ribosomal RNA (579 nucleotides) under uncultured bacterium. RNAcentral's name for it is "bacterial SSU rRNA". It matches the Rfam family "Bacterial small subunit ribosomal RNA", at positions 102 to 677 of the family's 1533-position model. The record is from RNAcentral.